CUUUUGUGUAACGCUCGUUAUGGAAGAGAGGGUAGCUGAUUGUCAGAGUUCAGGGCUGCACCCUGGUGUGCUGAGCAGGUGUCCGUGCUAAGGUUGGCAUCAAUAUGGUGAUUUCUGGGAAGUUCGGCGUCACCAGGUUGCCUAAGGAGGGGUGAACCGGCCCAGGUCAGAAAUGGAGCCGGUCAAAACUCCCAUGCUGAUUGAUAGUAGGAUUGCACCUGUGAACACCUGCUGUAGCAAAGCCUGGGCAGGACAGUGAGAGCUAGUCUCUU
RNAcentral lists this signal recognition particle RNA (272 nucleotides) under Chelonia mydas (Green sea turtle). Its description in RNAcentral is "Metazoan signal recognition particle RNA". It matches the Rfam family "Metazoan signal recognition particle RNA". From Rfam's summary of the family: The signal recognition particle (SRP) is a universally conserved ribonucleoprotein. Lineage: Eukaryota; Metazoa; Chordata; Testudines; Cheloniidae. The record is from Rfam by way of RNAcentral.